RNAcentral lists this ribosomal RNA (497 nucleotides) under uncultured bacterium. RNAcentral's name for it is "partial 16S ribosomal RNA". It matches the Rfam family "Bacterial small subunit ribosomal RNA", at positions 28 to 507 of the family's 1533-position model. The record is from RNAcentral.
GAUGAACGCUGGCGGCGUGCCUAAUACAUGCCAGUCGAGCGAACGGACGAGAAGCUUGCUUCUCUGAUGUUAGCGGCGGACGGGUGAGUAACACGUGGAUAACCUACCUAUAAGACUGGGAUAGCUUCGGGAAACCGUAGCUAAUACCGGAUAAUAUUUUGAACCGCAUGGUUCAAAAGUGAAAGACGGUCUUGCUGUCACUUAUAGAUGGAUCCGCGCUGCAUUAGCUAGUUGGUAAGGUAACGGCUUACCAAGGCAACGAUGCAUAGCCGACCUGAGAGGGUGAUCGGCCACACUGGAACUGAGACACGGUCCAGACUCCUACGGGAGGCAGCAGUAGGGAAUCUUCCGCAAUGGGCGAAAGCCUGACGGAGCAACGCCGCGUGAGUGAUGAAGGUCUUCGGAUCGUAAAACUCUGUUAUUAGGGAAGAACAUAUGUGUAAGUAACUGUGCACAUCUUGACGGUACCUAAUCAGAAAGCCACGGCUAACUACGUG